This 173-nucleotide small RNA is filed under the name Arabidopsis thaliana (thale cress). Its description in RNAcentral is "ATSL161350". The record is from RNAcentral. Lineage: Eukaryota; Viridiplantae; Streptophyta; Magnoliopsida; Brassicales; Brassicaceae.
CACCAAAAAAAUAUGGUACAUUCGGGUCUAUAGUAUUUUUGCAAGACUUUUUUGGUGGAUUUGGGUAAAAGUGCAUUCAGGUCAUAUGGUACAUUCCCCUAUUAAAUAAAUAUGGUGCACUCCUAUGUUAUUAGCUAAAAUAUUUAGAUUAUAAUUCAGAGUCAUAUCAUAAU